CCAUAGUCAGCCCAAAUGAGGUCUUGACCGUCCCUGCUAAACAUGGUGGUUGAUCUAUUCCUAUGCCUGUCAGCCAGUUUCUGGUCAUGCUCUUUGAGCACCUCCUUUGCCAAUUCUGUGCUCGACACUACCACGUUCAGUGUGUAUCCAAUCCACACUGAAAUGAUGGGCCCAUAAAUCUGAGCCCACUCCGCGUAGCAUCGGAACCUCACGGGCGUUAUGUGGUAGAGGUUUCCGAGGACCGGCCACGGACGUGGACCUGGGGGGAGCUUGAAUCUCAGCCGCUGGUAGAGCUUGUAAGCAAGGAAGAUGAGGAUGAGAAGUGAUGAGAUGGGAAGUAAUAGUCCAGAGAAAGCCAUGUGUAAUAUUAGAAGAGAGGGUUACUAUCAAAUAAGGUUAUUGGAAUGGGAAGAGCCCUUGUGGGCGUGUGUAUAUAUAUGGGCCUCGGUCAAUAAAAACAAAAAUUGAUACAUCACAACACAUGCACGCUCUAUAGAUAUUAUAGAUAUCUAUAAUGAAGAAGAAGAUAUUUUAGAUAUAAUAUAUCCAAGAACUCGCUGUUAUUUUAGGUAUGAAUGGUGGUAGAAUUAUUUUCUGGAAGUACUCGCUGUUAUUAACUCAUUAUAUCCAAGAACUCUAGGGAGAGGUUAGGUUGCACACGUGCUUAUCUGCCCCCAAACCAGAUUUAGGUAAAUAAGCGUUUAAUAAGUACACCCUAUUCAUCAUAUUCAACCUUAAUUAAAAGUACGUAGAUAAGUUUCAAAUAAUUUUAAGGGCCUUGAUGCUUCAAAGGCUUAGAGCUUCUUUACAAACAUGGUAAAAGACGAGUGUCGGCAUUUCUCCAUGUACUUGAUCCUUCAAGAUGCAAAAGAUGGGCAGCCAUAUUUGAAUAAAAAAAAUUUAUUCCAGGCUGACUUCUUAGCUCAACAUCAUUCACACAAUAAAGUUAAAGUGGAUGACUUUAAAAUCCUAAUGUUUAAACUUUUCUUCUAACUUGAAAGCAUCCAAAAAGUUCUCGAGGAUUUCAGACUGGUGAUGAUGCAUUUCACUAGUAAUUUGACAGAGAUGUUUGAGUCCCCUCCACAUAUUUUGAACGAGCUAGAAAAUCUACUCCCACAACAGCUUACGAAAUUAAAGAUUUUGAUGCAAACCCAAAAUCUGAAAAGAGGGCACGAAUUCAUGAAAAAGAGAACAUGGUUUAGGAUUGGUAUUAGGGUGUUGUGUGAUAGAAUGUAUUAGGGUGUACCAGGGGUAUUUUGGGUAGUUAAAUAGAAUGUACUUAGUUAAUUUUACAUUUUAAUUAAAAUAUUAGAGUGUACUUGGAUCAUAGAGUGUACUAAGUUAAUUUUAAGGUUCGUUUAACAGCACUCUUAAAAAAAAUAACACAAAAGAAGCUUUCCCUUGAAGAUAAAAUAUGGUUAUAUAAAUUAUGAAGCUUGGUUAUAUAAAAUGGAUGCUUAAUUGCCAAGGUACAGGAAUAAUAUAGAUGUUUUUGUAUUGGGUGGUGUGGGAGGAUAACAUAGGUAGGACCAUUUACAAUGCCUAUGGACUUUUAAACCCAAAAAAAAAAAAAAAAAAAAAAAAAAAAAAAAUUCAAACUUUGAAAGUUAAAAAUAAUAAUAAUAAUUUGAAAACAUAAUUUUAUUUCACUUUAUGAUAAACGUAACAUUACUCAAAUAAAGUUAAAUCGGUAAUCAGUGUAAGCCCACAACUUUUUAAGGUAUGAAUGGUGGUUGAAUUAUUUUCUGGAAGUAGUCACUGUAAUGAAGUUAUUACAUCCAAGAACUCCAGGGAGAGGUUGGGUUGCACCCGUGCUCAUCUGCCCCCAAGCCAGAUUUAGGUAAACAGAUGUAAUAUAGAUUGAGAAUCGAUCUUCCUUGUGCUUUUUUCUUGUUCAAUGUACGUGUUUGGUUUCCUAGUCUAUCAGGAAUAAUAUAGAUGUUGUUGUAUUGGGUUAUAACUUAUAUGGUGUGGGAGGAUAACAUAGACAAUGCAUUUGUAUUUUUAAACCCAAAAAAUAUUUCAAACUUUGAAAGUUAAAAUUUUAAAAAAAAAUUCACUUUAAAUACCUUUCCAUCUUGUCUAUUUUCAAUUUUUCGUAGGGCAUAUUUUUUAUCUUUAUUUCUUAAAAAUCUUCCCUUUUUUUUUAAUUCCCUAUCGUAUCAUGUCUUAUUUUCAUUAUUUCUGACUUAACUCAUCUUUCUUUAUCUUUUGAGUAAGAUAUUUUUUGAAUAUAUCAUUUCUUUGUCUUUUUCUCACUUGCACUGGGCUAUAGCCCCUUAUAGCCUAAGCGUAGUUCCGCCACUUGUCACAAGAAAGAUUGAAUAUCAAAUUUUUACAUUCAUAUCAACCAUGUCACAAGAAAGAUUAAAUGGCUUAGCUAUGUUAUAUAACAUUGGAUAUAUCCAUUGAAAAAGACAUGGUAUAAAAACUUUGAUUAUGUCAAAUUAAUUGAUAGUUCGUAUGAAGAAAAAAAUAUGUAAGAUGUUAAGUGAUGUUUUGAUGCAUUUUAUAAAGUUGUAAUGUGGAUUACAUAUUGUUUGUUUCUUUUUAAGUUAGAAUUGUGACUUUGAAUCCACAUGUCGUGAAAAUCAGUAUGUUUGAUAAAAAAAUAUAUAUAUAUAUGUAAACAAAACCACUAACCCGAUUAAGUGAUGAAGAAAAAUGAAAAUGACUUAGAUCUUCCACUCUCUACCACUUCACUCAAUGUAUUUCAAUGAAUUUUUUAUUUUUUUAUUAUAAACAAAAGGAAGAUUGCAUUCAUAAAUCACGUCAAAUUGGAAUAGAAUCCUGAGAUUCAAUUGAACUUUAAGUUCAAUUUGUAUAUUUGACUUACAUUUAAAACUAAACUCCACAAACUGAAGAUAUAAAAAAUAAAGAUGAAUAUUUAGAAAAAAGAAUGACCUCAUUUUUUUCAAUCCAAGAUUUUUUGGGUUCAUGAGAUCUUGAUCUUGCUCAUUUUUAAAUAUAUAAAAAAUUCAUCCUAUUUGCUGAUAUAAGUUUAACUAAACUUGCAUGAAGGGAUGGGCUAAUAUUUGUGGGAAUAAGGGGAGUUUAUUAAAAUUUGAGUGAUCAAGGCCCAUAAACUUUAAAUUUAUUAGCAAAUUGAAUUGGACAACUGUUAAUAUCAUACUUAUAUGACAUUGCCAUGAACAUUUGUCAUAACAAACUAAAGUUAUAGUAAAUAAUCAAUUAACGCUUUUCAGCUUUUGACCAAAAAACAGUGCUUCUCAAAAAUUGAAUGUUCUCGUCUUUUCAAGUCUAAUUGGCAGGGAACAUUCCUUACAUAAAAUAAUAAUUUCGUGAAUUUAAAGAACCAUUUGUUAAAAUAACCCAAUAUAUGCUUUGCAGUGCAAAUAUUGAAAAAGGAAAAAAGACAAAAAAAAAAAAAGAGAUUUAAAUUAUCAAGUUUGAUUAAUGAUGAAGAGGAAUAUUACAUAUGGUGUCUGCUAAAGGAUAUCCAUAAAAGGGAUGCUUUUAUUUAUUAUUUUUCCAAAUAAGCAGAAGAAAUAAACAGUCCCAUCAUUUCAAUUACUACAACCAUAAGAAUAAAUUUAUUCUUCCAAUAUUUGGACACUAAUUGAGUUCGGUGACCAAAAUCGGUACAUUACAUAUCUGCGGCAACACGUUUGUACAAAUGCGAGGGGAGCCUUGGAGUAGGCACGGCUUGUAAUGGGGUUCUCAUGUAAGUCACAAGCCCUGGAUUUUCCGACAUGUCUAUCUCCUUUGGAUUCAUCCCUUCAGCCGGAGCCCAACUGAAAUGGUGCAAUAGAUGCCCCAACAUGGACACCACCAAAUUCACACUAAGUUGUGCUCCCGGGCAUACUCGCCUACCGGCUCCAAACGGAAGUAGUCUGAAAUCAUGCCCCUUCAUGUCAACAUCCUCCUCUAGGAACCUUUCUGGUCGGAACUCAUGCGGGUCUUUCCAAACAGCGGGGUCACGCGCUACGGCCCAGACAUUUACAUGAACACUCGCACCCUUGGGGAUGUCGUAGCCGCCGAUCUUGACAUUGGCAUUAGCUCGGUGGGGGAGCAUUAGAGGAGUUGGAGGGUGCAACCGCAACGCUUCCUUUGCUACACAUUGUAGGUAAGGGAGAUUUGAGAAAUCGUCUUCGGUCAUGACCCGUUCGAACCCGAUGACACGGUCCAGCUCCUCUUGUGCCUUUUUUUGCACCCUCGGGUUCUUAAUCAACUCAGCCAUAGCCCAUUCAACUGAAAUAGCUGUGGUGUCUGUGCCCGCAGUAAUCAUAUCCUGCAUGCACAAAUGGUAUAACUAAGUUAUGAACCCGAGGCAACAAGGUUAGAAUUUGAGGGUUUGUGCAAAGCUUAGAUUGGGGUCACACACAUAAUAGGAAAAAUAACUCUUCUUUUAGAAAUAUCAAAUCGAAAAAACUGCAUGUAUACAUUACUUACCCAAAGAAGUCCGAUAAUAGUGUCUUCACUAAGGUCAUACUUGUCCUUCAAUGUAAGCAACGCAUCGACAAAAUGCUGCUUGGCACCGCCACUCUUGGUGCGAGCCUGUGUGUGCUCCUCCAUGAUUGCCCUAGUGAGUCGGUCUCUUCGUGCCCCAUGCUGAGCAAACGCCUUUUCCUCCAGCGGGAACAUCCAACGCAGCCAUGGAAUGUGCUCGGCCAUCGAAAGCGACGCACCGAUCUUCACUCCAUUAGAAACAACAGCUUUGAAUUCUUGGCCUUGCUCAUCCAUUUCAUCCUGUGAGUUAACAAAACGCUUUCCGAAUGCUAGCCUUGUUAUGUUGUUGAAUGCCACUCUUCCCAAAUACUUCUUCACCAGCAAACUUUCCCCAUUUUUUUCUGCAAUAUGGUGAUAAAUUAAAGUUAAUCACAAAUUCACAGCUAGCAUAGUCAAGCAAUUUGGGAACAUAAAAUGCAUACCAUGAAUGGUACAGUGUUUGAAAAUGGACUCAACCAUAGCAGUGACCUCAUCUUCCCUAAUGGGUCUGAGAGCUUCAAUCCUCUUUGCAGAAAAAAGCUCAAGAGUGCACACCUUCCUGACCUUAACAUAGUGGGGCCCAUAGUCAGCCCAAAUGAGGUCCUGCCCAUCCUUGCUAAACCUGGCGCUUGAUCUAUUCCUGUGCCUAUCAGCCAGUUUCUGGUCAUGCUCUUUGAGCACCUCCUUUGCCAAUUCUGAGCUUGACACUACAACGUUGAGUGUGGAUCCAGUCCACACUGAAAUGAUGGGCCCAUAGGCCUGCGCCCACUCCGCGUAGCACCGGAACCUCACGGGCUUUAUGUGGUAGAGGUUUCCGACGACUGGCCACGGAAGUGGGCCGGGCGGGAGCUUAAAUCUCAGCCUUUGAUAUAGCUUGUAAGCAAGGAAGAUGAAGAUGAGGAGGAGUAGUAGUCCAGAGAGAGCCAUGUGAAAUGAGAAACACUGAGAUAGAGAGUUCGGAGAAGUGAUUUUGUUUUGAGUUGUGGAUGUGUGGAGUAAUUUAAAGGCACAUGCAAUUGUACGACGAGGUUACCACGUGAUAUUUACUCAACGUAAUUAUGCAAAUUGGACGACCGCAGCUUGGACAAGAUAUACCCUAUAGUGGGGCCAGAAGAAGCAUCGCCCACUCAUAUUCUCAACCAUCAUUAAUAGGACAAGUGUCAACCAUCUAAUGGAUGCCGUUCGAGAUGGGGAGGUAGGUAGUUAGAGCACCCCAGAGCGUCCCCUCUCAACUACAAGUCUACAAAAAACAAAAAAAACAAAAAAAAAGACACACCCACACAACACAACCACCUGAACUCAAAUUGAUCUUUCCAGAUAUUUCUUCCUUUACACAAAGCACACCAUUUUCAUCUAUAGAAAAAAGAUUGUUUGGUAAGGAAGGUGAUGUUGGUUCAAAACGAUCCCAUCAUCGGGGGGAGGAGCGAAAUAGCAAAUAUGAUUUUUAAGGUGAUGGUCACCUUCCAAAGUUGAGCUAGGACUGUGUUGCAACAUUAAUCCAGUAUGCGGACCUGUCACACAAUGGUGUGUGGGCUGGGGGACCGCACAAGACCCCCUGAAAAAACGGCCUACUAUAAAACCUUGUAGUCCAAUAAUUAUAUAAGAAAAAAUGCCUUUAGAAGGAAAUAAAGAGAAUCCAUUUAUAAGGAAGGAAAUACAUGGCAAAAAAAUAAUAAUAAGAAACACAAAAUGGCAGUUGCAUCAUAGUAGCUCAAUAUAAUUAGUGGUGUGUUUACUAAUCAGAAUUUGGAAUUAGAAUUAUGAAUUGAAUUUCAAUUAUGGAGGAUUCAUGCGUUUACUUCAUAUUAAGGAAUAAAAAGUAAGAGGGCUCCACACAAAAUCAUAAGGAAUUCAAUUUUUGGGUGGGAGAUAGUAUUAUAAUUCAUUGAAAAUUAACAUAUUAGGAAUUCAUAUUUUUUAUUCAUUAUAUCCUCACACAAUUUUAAAAAUUCUAAAUUUCUCAUCUACUUUAGCCCAACAACGAUGACAUUUUAGUAAUUAACAACACUCAUACCCCAAUUUCAUAUAUUUUAGUAAACAACUUCAAUAAGAGUCUGAAAUAUAAUUAUCCUCAAUUCAACUCCUCCUCAAUUCAAUUCAUUAUAAUUCACUAAACAUGCCAUAAAUUUAAAGAAUCCAGGCAUGGAUACUUUUUUGACAAGUCCAAAAAGUAUUAGGACACAUAUUUCCUCCAAUCACAGGUGAGCCCAACUACAACAACACAAAAGACCAAAAUCCCAAACUAGACUUAAAGCCUGGUCCACACCAACCACAGUGUUUCAAGUCUAAUUGGCAGGUAACAAUUCGUACAUAAAAUAAUAAUUUCGUGAAUUUAAAGGACCAUUUGUUAAAAUAAACCAUUAUGUUAUUAUCCAAAAACCCUAUGAGGUUGCUCAUUUAGUUCCCAAGCCAACUUAGUACAGUCCCAAACACAUAUCUAAUCUUUUUUUGGUGAAUUUUUCUUACUAAGAAAUUUGAAAAAUCAAGUAUGGAAAUAUUCAACGAGCAAUAUAUGUUUUGCAGUGGAAAUAUUGAAAAAAAAGAAGAUUUAAAUUAUCAAGUUUGAUUAAUGAUGAAGAGGAAUAUUACAUAUAGAGGAGAAAUAAACAGUCCCCUCAUUUCAAUUACUACAACCAUAAGAAUAAAUUUAUUCUUCCAAUAUUUGGACACUAAUUGUGACCAAGAAAGAUACUGAAAUCCUUUCGGAAGAAACUAAAAGGUACAUUACAUUUCUGCGGCAACACGUUUGUACAAAUGCGAGGGGAGCCUUGGAGUAGGCACGGCUUGUAAUGGGGUUCUCAUGUAAGUCACAAGCCCUGGAUUUUCUGACAUGUCAAUCUCCUUUGGAUUCAUCCCUUCAGCUGGAGCCCAACUGAAAUGGUGCAAUAGAUGCCCCAACAUGGACACCACCAAAUUCACACUAAGUUGUGCUCCCGGGCAUACUCGCCUGCCUGCUCCAAACGGAAGUAGUCUGAAAUCAUGCCCCUUCAUGUCAACAUCCUCCUCUAGGAACCUUUCUGGUCGGAACUCAUGCGGGUCUUUCCAAACCGCCGGGUCACGCGCUACGGCCCACACGUUUACGUGAACACUCGCACCCUUGGGGAUGUCGUAGCCGCCGAUCUUGACAUUGGCAUUAGCUCGGUGGGGAAGCAUUAGAGGAGUUGGAGGGUGCAACCGCAACGCUUCCUUUGCUACACAUUGCAGGUAAGGGAGAUUUGAGAAAUCGUCUUCGGUCAUGACCCGUUCGAACCCGAUGACUCGGUCUAGCUCCUCUUGUGCCUUGUUUUGCACCCUCGGGUUCUUAAUCAACUCAGCCAUAGCCCAUUCAACUGAAAUAGCUGUGGUGUCUGUGCCCGCAGUAAUCAUGUCCUGCAUGCACAAAUGGUAUAACUAAGUUAGAAUGUAGGAUCCUUAUAUAUAUGUAUAGUGUUUUCAGAAAGGUAUACGCCCUCCAAGGUAGGAAGCUCAUAACUAAUUAAGAACAUUAAAAAGGAAAUAUGGGUAUUUGGCAACAAGUUUAGAAUUUGAGGGUUUGUGCAAAGCUUAGAUUGGGGUCGCACACGCGAUCUAACAUGAAAAUACUUCAAUAAAAAAAAGUUUUAUCAUGAAGUGGUGUCAUAAAAUAACGAGCAUAAUGAGCACAAAGAGCGUUGCAAACCAACUUCAGCGGGCACACAGUUAUGAAAGUAUGUUGUGCGUUCACGUAUAUGCAUAUGAAAAACAGCUCUUAAAAAUUAGGGGCCUUGUGCUGUGGAACCAUCCCUAUCUGGCAAUGCUUAAUUCUAUCAUGUAUAUGGUUGUAUCCCACAUACUAGGAAAAAAUAACCCUUCUUUUAGAAAUAUCAAAUUGAAAAGACUGCAUGUAUACAUUACUUACCCAAAGAAGUCCGAUAAUUGUGUCUUCACUAAGGUCAUACUUGUCCUUCAAUGUAAGCAAUGCAUCGACAAAAUGCUGCUUGGCACCGCCACUCUUGGUGCGAGCCUGUGUGUGCUCCUCCAUGAUUGCCCUAGUGAGUCGGUCUCUUCGUGCCCCAUGCUGAGCAAACGCCUCUUCCUCCAGCGGGAACAUCCAACGCAGCCAGGGAAUGUGCUCGGCCAUCGAAAGCGAUGCACCGAUCUUCACUCCAUUAGAAACAACAGCUUUGAAUUCUUGGCCUUGCUCAUCCAUUUCAUCCUCUGCGUUAACAAAACGCUUUCCGAAUGCUAGCCUUGUUAUGUUGUUGAAUGCCACUCUUCCCAAAUACUUCUUCACUAGCAAACUUUCCCCAUUUUUUUCUGCAGUAUGGUGAUUAAUUAAUGUUAAUCACAAAUUCACAAUUAAUACACAUUAAGUAUGCAAACUAAUAAAGUAGCAUUGAAUCCAAUCAUACGGUAACAAUAAAUACCAAUCAAUCAACCUCAAGUACUUCCUCUCAGAAAACUCAACUACCAUUAUAGAUAUGCGAGUGUAAUUUGAAUUAAUGAACGAUGAAAUAAACACGUGGUAUAACAUGAGUGAAUUAUAUCGAUGUAGACAAUUAAAAAAGUACAAACUGCAAAUGACAUUUGAAAAACUAGCAUAGUCAAGCAAUUUGGGAACAUAAAAUGCAUACCAUUAAUGGUACAGUGCUUGAAAAUGGACUCAACCAUAGCGGUGACCUCAUCUUCUCUAAUGGGUCUGAGAGCUUCAAUCCUCUUUGCAGAGAAAAGCUCAAGAGUGCACACCUUCCGGACCUUAACAUAGUGGGGCCCAUAGUCAGCCCAAAUGAGGUCCUGCCCAUCCUUGCUAAACUUGGCGGUUGAUCUAUUCCUUUGCCUAUCAGCCAGUUUCUGGUCAUGCUCUUUGAGCACCUCCUUUGCCAAUUCUGAGCUCGACACUACAACGUUGAGUGUGGAUCCAGUCCACACUGAAAUGAUGGGCCCAUAGGCCUGCGCCCACUCCGCGUAGCACCGGAACCUCACGGGCUUUAUGUGGUAGAGGUUUCCGACGACUGGCCACGGACGCGGGCCGGGCGGGAGCUUAAAUCUCAGCCUUUGAUAGAGCUUGUAAGCAAGGAAGAUGAAGAUGAGGAGUAGUAGUAGUCCAGAGAGAGCCAUGUGAAAUGAGAAACACUGAGAUAGAGAGUUUGG
RNAcentral lists this long non-coding RNA (9558 nucleotides) under Prunus persica (peach). Its description in RNAcentral is "long non-coding RNA (PPER_LNC001696)". The record is from RNAcentral. Lineage: Eukaryota; Viridiplantae; Streptophyta; Magnoliopsida; Rosales; Rosaceae.